UAGCAGUGAAAUGCGUUGAUAUCGGAAGGAACACCAAGAGCGAAGGCAGGAAACUAAUCGAAGUCUGACGCUGAGGCACGACAGCUAGGGGAGCGAAGCAGAUUAGAGACCUGCGUAGUCCUAGCCGUAAACGCAUCCCUGCUAGAUGCUUUGAGUUAUAUCAGAGUGUCGUAAGUUAACACGUUAAGCAGGGCGCCUGGGGAGUACGGUCGCAAGGCUAAAACUCAAAGGAAUUGGCGGGGACCCGCACAACCGGUGGAGCAUGUGGUUUAAUUCGAGACGAAGCGAAAGACCUCACCACGGUUUGACAUGCUAUCGUACAGCUUUCUGGAAACAGGAAGUAAUUCGCAAGAAUGAUAGCAAAGCUGCUGCAUGGCUGUCGUCAGCUCGUACCGUGAGGUGUUCCCUUAAGUGGGGUAACGAGCGCAACCCUUUUCCCGAGUUAGAUAUGUCUCGGGAGACUGCUUCGCCUUUGGCGAGGAGGAAGGAGAGGAUGACGUCAAGUCAGCACGGCGCCUAUGCCGUGGGCCACACACAUCCUACAAUGGCGAAGAACAAUGAGUCGCGAGAGGGUGACCUUAAGCAAAUCUCUGAAAUUUCGCCUCAGUUGGGAUUGGAGUCUGCAACUCGACUCCAUGAACGCGGAAUCGGUAGUAAUCGCGGAUCAGCAGGCCGCGGUGAAUACGUUCUCGGGUCUUGCACACACCGCCCGUCAAGCCAACAAAGUCGAGGGUAGCCGAUGCCCGCCAUCUGGCGGGUGAAGCUAAACUCGGUGAUGGGGACUAAGUCGUAACAAGGUAUCCCUACUGGAAGGUGGGGAUGGAUCACCUCCUUUCUA
RNAcentral lists this ribosomal RNA (838 nucleotides) under Candidatus Gottesmanbacteria bacterium. RNAcentral's name for it is "bacterial SSU rRNA". It matches the Rfam family "Bacterial small subunit ribosomal RNA", at positions 676 to 1533 of the family's 1533-position model. Lineage: Bacteria; Candidatus Gottesmaniibacteriota. The record is from RNAcentral.